CCCUUAGAUGUUCUGGGCAGCACGCGCGCUACAAUGGUCUUCGCAAACGGAUGCAUUCUCGAAGGAGAAUGCCAAUCUUGGAAUCUAUGCCUUGGUCGGGACAGUUGCUUGCAAUUUUUCGACUCGAACCAGGAAUUCCUUGUAAUCGUGAUUCAUCACAUCACGAUGAAUACGUCCCUGCCCUUUGUACACACCGCCCGUCGCUCCUACCGAUCGAAGAGUUAGGUGAAUUGUUUUGAUCGAUAAGAUUUGACUAUGGUCAAGUCUCGUUGUGAAAUUCUGUGAAUCUGACUGUUUAGAGGAAGGAAAAGUCGUAACA
RNAcentral lists this ribosomal RNA (319 nucleotides) under uncultured eukaryote. RNAcentral describes it as "partial 18S ribosomal RNA". It matches the Rfam family "Eukaryotic small subunit ribosomal RNA", at positions 1470 to 1796 of the family's 1831-position model. The record is from RNAcentral.